GAGAGGAUCUGCUCCUAGUACGAGAGGACCAGAGUGGACGAACCUCUGGUGUACCGGUUGUGACGCCAGUCGCAUCGCCGGGUAGCUAUGUUCGGAAGGGAUAACCGCUGAAAGCAUCUAAGCGGGAAGCCUACCUCAAGAUAAGAUUUCCCUAGGACUUUAUGUCCUCUAAAGAGCCGUUCGAGACUAGGACGUUGAUAGGUUGGAUGUGGAAGCAUAGUGAUAUGUGAAGCUGACCAAUACUAAUUGCUCGUGAGGCUUGACUAUACAACACCCAAGCAGUUG
Molecule: ribosomal RNA, 285 nt
Filed under: Acinetobacter baumannii
Lineage: Bacteria; Pseudomonadati; Pseudomonadota; Gammaproteobacteria; Moraxellales; Moraxellaceae
Also listed under: 1 other name
Description: partial 23S ribosomal RNA
Rfam family: Bacterial large subunit ribosomal RNA
Source: RNAcentral